CACGCAGGCGGCCGUGUAAGUUUGGGGUUACAGCUCCCGGCUCAACUGGGAGAGCGCCUUGAAGACUGCAGGACUUGAGGGCCAGAGAGGGACACAGAAUUCCGGGUGUAGUGGUGAAAUGCGUAGAUAUCCGGAGGAAUACCAAAGGCGAAGGCAGUGUCCUGGCUGGUGACUGACGCUGAGGUGCGAAAGCUAGGGGAGCGAACGGGAUUAGAUACCCCGGUAGUCCUAGCCGUAAACGAUGACCACUAGGUGUGGGAGGUAUCGACCCCUUCCGUGCCGCAGUUAACACAGUAAGUGGUCCGCCUGGGGAGUACGGUCGCAAGAUUAAA
Molecule: ribosomal RNA, 332 nt
Filed under: uncultured bacterium
Lineage: Bacteria
Description: bacterial SSU rRNA
Rfam family: Bacterial small subunit ribosomal RNA
Source: RNAcentral